CAGUAGCCGCGGUAAAACGUAGGGUGCAAGCGUUGUCCGGAAUUAUUGGGCGUAAAGAGCUCGUAGGCGGUUUCUUAAGUCUGAUGUGAAAGCCCCCGGCUCAACCGGGGAGGGUCAUUGGAAACUGGGAAACUUGAGAGCAGAAGAGGAGAGUGGAAUUCCACGUGUAGCGGUGAAAUGCGUAGAGAUGUGGAGGAACACCAGUGGCGAAGGCGACUCUCUGGUCUGUAACUGACGCUGAGGAGCGAAAGCGUGGGGAGCGAACAGGAUUAGAUACCCCGGUAGUCCCUGUCUCUUAUAC
This 301-nucleotide ribosomal RNA is filed under the name uncultured bacterium. Its description in RNAcentral is "partial 16S ribosomal RNA". It matches the Rfam family "Bacterial small subunit ribosomal RNA", at positions 509 to 807 of the family's 1533-position model. The record is from RNAcentral.